UCAGGAUGAACGCUAGCGGCAGGCCUAACACAUGCAAGUCGAGGGGUAACAUUGUGCUUGCACAGAUGACGACCGGCGCACGGGUGCGUAACGCGUAUACAAUCUACCUUUUGCUGAGGGAUAGCCCAGAGAAAUUUGGAUUAAUACCUCAUAGUAUACACUAACCUCAUGGUUUAUGUAUUAAAGGUUACGGCAAAAGAUGAGUAUGCGUCCUAUUAGUUAGUUGGUAAGGUAACGGCUUACCAAGACAGCGAUAGGUAGGGGCCCUGAGAGGGGGAUCCCCCACACUGGUACUGAGACACGGACCAGACUCCUACGGGAGGCAGCAGUGAGGAAUAUUGGACAAUGGAGGCAACUCUGAUCCAGCCAUGCCGCGUGCAGGAUGACUGCCCUAUGGGUUGUAAACUGCUUUUAUACAGGAAGAAACAUCUCUACGUGUAGAGACUUGACGGUACUGUAAGAAUAAGGAUCGGCUAACUCCGUGCCAGCAGCCGCGGUAAUACGGAGGAUCCAAGCGUUAUCCGGAAUCAUUGGGUUUAAAGGGUCCGUAGGUGGAUAAUUAAGUCAGAGGUGAAAGUUUGCAGCUCAACUGUAAAAUUGCCUUUGAUACUGGUUAUCUUGAAUCAUUAUGAAGUGGUUAGAAUAUGUAGUGUAGCGGUGAAAUGCAUAGAUAUUACAUAGAAUACCAAUUGCGAAGGCAGAUCACUAAUAAUGUAUUGACACUGAUGGACGAAAGCGUGGGGAGCGAACAGGAUUAGAUACCCUGGUAGUCCACGCCGUAAACGAUGGAUACUAGCUGUUCGGAACUUGUUUCUGAGUGGCUAAGCGAAAGUGAUA
This 837-nucleotide ribosomal RNA is filed under the name uncultured Algibacter sp. Its description in RNAcentral is "bacterial SSU rRNA". It matches the Rfam family "Bacterial small subunit ribosomal RNA", at positions 24 to 862 of the family's 1533-position model. Lineage: Bacteria; Pseudomonadati; Bacteroidota; Flavobacteriia; Flavobacteriales; Flavobacteriaceae. The record is from RNAcentral.